GCACAAGCGGUGGAGCAUGUGGUUUAAUUCGACGCAACGCGAAGAACCUUACCUGGUCUUGACAUCCCAGAGAUCCCUUGGAAACUUGGGAGUGCUUCCAUUAGGAAGAAUCUGGAGACAGGUGCUGCAUGGCUGUCGUCAGCUCGUGUCGUGAGAUGUUGGGUUAAGUCCCGCAACGAGCGCAACCCUUGCCUUUAGUUGCCAGCAGUUCGGCUGGGUACUCUAAAGGGACUGCCGGUGUUAAACCGGAGGAAGGUGGGGAUGACGUCAAGUCCUCAUGGCCUUUAUGACCAGGGCUACACACGUACUACAAUGGCCGAUACAAAGGGCAGCGACAUUGCGAAAUGGAGCCAAUCCCAUAAAUUCGGUCUCAGUCCGGAUUGGAGUCUGCAACUCGACUCCAUGAAGUUGGAAUCGCUAGUAAUCGUGGAUCAGCAUGCCACGGUGAAUACGUUCCCGGGCCUU
RNAcentral lists this ribosomal RNA (465 nucleotides) under uncultured Desulfobulbus sp. RNAcentral's name for it is "bacterial SSU rRNA". It matches the Rfam family "Bacterial small subunit ribosomal RNA", at positions 923 to 1382 of the family's 1533-position model. Lineage: Bacteria; Pseudomonadati; Thermodesulfobacteriota; Desulfobulbia; Desulfobulbales; Desulfobulbaceae. The record is from RNAcentral.